UCAGUGUGUGUGUUAGUGGAAGCGUCUGGAAAGGCGCGCGAUACAGGGUGACAGCCCCGUACACAAAAAUGCACAUGCUGUGAGCUCGAUGAGUAGGGCGGGACACGUGGUAUCCUGUCUGAAUAUGGGGGGACCAUCCUCCAAGGCUAAAUACUCCUGACUGACCGAUAGUGAACCAGUACCGUGAGGGAAAGGCGAAAAGAACCCCGGCGAGGGGAGUGAAAAAGAACCUGAAACCGUGUACGUACAAGCAGUGGGAGCACGCUUAGGCGUGUGACUGCGUACCUUUUGUAUAAUGGGUCAGCGACUUAUAUUCUGUAGCAAGGUUAACCGAAUAGGGGAGCCGAAGGGAAACCGAGUCUUAACUGGGCGUUAAGUUGCAGGGUAUAGACCCGAAACCCGGUGAUCUAGCCAUGGGCAGGUUGAAGGUUGGGUAACACUAACUGGAGGACCGAACCGACUAAUGUUGAAAAAUUAGCGGAUGACUUGUGGCUGGGGGUGAAAGGCCAAUCAAACCGGGAGAUAGCUGGUUCUCCCCGAAAGCUAUUUAGGUAGCGCCUCGUGAAUUCAUCUCCGGGGGUAGAGCACUGUUUCGGCAAGGGGGUCAUCCCGACUUACCAACCCGAUGCAAACUGCGAAUACCGGAGAAUGUUAUCACGGGAGACACACGGCGGGUGCUAACGUCCGUCGUGAAGAGGGAAACAACCCAGACCGCCAGCUAAGGUCCCAAAGUCAUGGUUAAGUGGGAAACGAUGUGGGAAGGCCCAGACAGCCAGGAUGUUGGCUUAGAAGCAGCCAUCAUUUAAAGAAAGCGUAAUAGCUCACUGGUCGAGUCGGCCUGCGCGGAAGAUGUAACGGGGCUAAACCAUGCACCGAAGCUGCGGCAGCGACGCUUAUGCGUUGUUGGGUAGGGGAGCGUUCUGUAAGCCUGCGAAGGUGUGCUGUGAGGCAUGCUGGAGGUAUCAGAAGUGCGAAUGCUGACAUAAGUAACGAUAAAGCGGGUGAAAAGCCCGCUCGCCGGAAGACCAAGGGUUCCUGUCCAACGUUAAUCGGGGCAGGGUGAGUCGACCCCUAAGGCGAGGCCGAAAGGCGUAGUCGAUGGGAAACAGGUUAAUAUUCCUGUACUUGGUGUUACUGCGAAGGGGGGACGGAGAAGGCUAUGUUGGCCGGGCGACGGUUGUCCCGGUUUAAGCGUGUAGGCUGGU
RNAcentral lists this ribosomal RNA (1205 nucleotides) under Escherichia coli. RNAcentral's name for it is "partial 23S ribosomal RNA". It matches the Rfam family "Bacterial large subunit ribosomal RNA", at positions 317 to 1529 of the family's 2925-position model. Lineage: Bacteria; Pseudomonadati; Pseudomonadota; Gammaproteobacteria; Enterobacterales; Enterobacteriaceae. The record is from RNAcentral.